This 431-nucleotide unclassified non-coding RNA is filed under the name soil metagenome. Its description in RNAcentral is "partial contains 5.8S ribosomal RNA, internal transcribed spacer 2, and large subunit ribosomal RNA". The stretch from base 1 to 120 matches the Rfam family "5.8S ribosomal RNA", at positions 35 to 154 of the family's 154-position model. The record is from RNAcentral.
GAUGAAGAACGCAGCGAAAUGCGAUACGUAAUGUGAAUUGCAGAAUUCAGUGAAUCAUCGAAUCUUUGAACGCAUAUUGCGCUCUCUGGUAUUCCGGAGAGCAUGCUUGUUUGAGUAUCAGUAAACACCUCAACUCCCUUUUCUUUUUUGAAAUGGGAGCUGGACUUGAGUGAUCCCAACACUUUUCUCACUGGAAAGUGGCGGGUCACUUGAAAUGCAGGUGCAGCUGGACUUUUCUCUGAGCUAUAAGCAUAUCUAUUUAGUCUGCCUAAAAAACAGAUUAUUACCUUUGCUGCAGCUAACAUAAAGGAGACUAGUUCUUGUGCUGACUGAUGCAGGAUUCACAGAGACAGCUUCGGCUGACUUUGUAAACUCGAUCUCAAAUCAAGUAAGACUACCCGCUGAACUUAAGCAUAUCAAUAAGCGGAGGA